This 578-nucleotide long non-coding RNA is filed under the name Homo sapiens (human). Its description in RNAcentral is "HSALNT0083502". Lineage: Eukaryota; Metazoa; Chordata; Mammalia; Primates; Hominidae. The record is from RNAcentral.
ACGGAGCUGAAGAUUCCUGUUGCCUCAUGAUGUAGUAGUCACCCUGGUGAUGCUGCUGUAAACAAACCUACCAUGCUGCCAGUCAUAGAAAAGUCUAGCACCUACGGACAUGAGCAUAGAAGUACACAGUGCUUGAUGAUGGCAAAGGCGGGUUCUUCAGGAGGUGUCCUCCUAGGAGCUGGCAGCUCCAUGCCUGUCGUUGACCCUUGACGGCCUUCCAGAGGGACAAGAGGAGGAGGCGAAAGACAGUGACGUGUGUGAUCCUGACUCUGUGUAGGCUGAGGCUAAGGUCUGCAGUGAGAGUGGAGUCAGCGUUUCUUCUUGCUAUUGAGCUUCGGGAUAGGCAUCUAUCACUUGCGCUCACACAGUUCCUUCCGUUGAACAUCUGCAAGGUGACACAGAUUUGAGGGACCGUCACACUUGAUUAGAGCCCACUUGGGUGCUCCUGGAACCUGGAACAGACAAACUCCAAGAGGAGAUUGAAGAUUUUCCGCAUCCUGGGACUCCAGGCCGAAUCACUUUGUGUGGCCUCGGAGGGAACACCUAUCCAAUGCUGCCAAGAAAUAAACCUUUCAGGG